GGGGACGACAUGGCUUCGACGUGGGUGGCGAAACCUUAAGGUGCAUGUCGAGGCGCAGAUCACCUCGUUAAUACAGCUGCAAACCAUUUAGUUGCCAACGACGACAACUACGCUUUAGCUGCUUAAUAACCAGUCUAACGCCCUCUGACUGAGGCUCGCCUGUAGGCUUCAGAUUCCAGGGGUCACCCUAUACAGGAUCGCGUUGUGAUCAGCCUGAGGUCACUUCACUAAACUCUAAACGGGAUCGUUGCUCAGUAUCCUGAAGCGCUGGAGACUGAAUGAUUAAACUAAAUAGCGCAAUCUAAACAUGUAGAGCCUAAGGCAGAGUACUUGCGGACGGGGGUUCGAUUCCCCCCGUCUCCACCA
This 366-nucleotide transfer-messenger RNA is filed under the name Gammaproteobacteria bacterium. It matches the Rfam family "transfer-messenger RNA". From Rfam's summary of the family: Bacterial tmRNA, also known as 10Sa RNA or SsrA, is named for its dual tRNA and mRNA-like properties. Its role is to liberate the mRNA from a stalled ribosome. Lineage: Bacteria; Pseudomonadati; Pseudomonadota; Gammaproteobacteria. The record is from RNAcentral.